Molecule: long non-coding RNA, 94 nt
Organism: Aricia agestis (brown argus)
Lineage: Eukaryota; Metazoa; Arthropoda; Insecta; Lepidoptera; Lycaenidae
Exons: 3
Source: RefSeq, a predicted model, not a curated record
GUUAAAUAUUUUCGUAUGAGAAAAUGAUUUUGGUAUUACGUAUGUAUGAGAAUUUCGAUAGUACCCGGCCCCUUAAUAAAUAAACAGACGGACA